RNAcentral lists this ribosomal RNA (1380 nucleotides) under Labiotermes sp. BRA029. Its description in RNAcentral is "16S ribosomal RNA". The stretch from base 892 to 1259 matches the Rfam family "Archaeal large subunit ribosomal RNA", at positions 2150 to 2716 of the family's 2987-position model. Lineage: Eukaryota; Metazoa; Arthropoda; Insecta; Blattodea; Termitidae. The record is from RNAcentral.
GCAAUUCGGCAUGGUCUGAUUUCUAUUGAUUGUCUUGUUUUUGAGUUAGGUUUGUUUAAGGUUUUAUUGAAGAAUCAUUAAUGGUUAUUGUAAUUUUUAUGAUCUAAUUUUUUAUACGAUAGGUUAUUUGUACUGUGAGGGGUGGAGUUAUUUGUAUUAUUUUUUUAAAAGUUGAUUUUAUUUUUCGUACCUUGUGUAUCAGGGUUCAUUGAAUUUUAUUAUUUAUUUUUAUUUCCCGAUUUUAAAGGAGUUAAUAAUUUAUGUUAGUUACUGUUUCAUUAGUAUUAAUAAUAAUUUAUUGGUAGUGAAAUGUUAUUCGUCUUUAGUGGUUUCUGGUUUUUCAAGAAAUGAAUUUAAUUCAUGCAUCUUAUUUAAUUAUUAUUGUUUGUUUAUUUAUUUUUAUUUUAUGCUAAGAUUAAGGGGGAUUAGCUCUUUAUUUUAUUUUUAUAAUCUUUAUUUUAAUUUAGUUUUGUGGAUUUUAUAGUGAUUUUCAAUUUGAUUAUGUUAAAAUUUUAUUUGUUCUUUUAUUUAUUUUUUUGUGAUUUAUAUUUUUAUUGAAAUGUUUUCUUUAUCUUUAUUUGUAUGGUAAUUAUUGUGUAAUUAGUAAAUUUUAUUUUUGUAUUGUUUUAAUUGGAUGUUAAUUUCUUUUGAGGAAUUCGGCAAUUUUGUUGUGUCCGCCUGUUUAACAAAAACAUCUUUUCUUGUUAGUUUUUGAAGUAUGGCCUGCCCACUGACUUUUAGUUGAAGGGCCGCGGUAUUUUGACCGUGCAAAGGUAGCAUAAUCAUUAGUUCUUUAAUUGUGAUCUGGUAUGAAUGGCUUGACGAGACACAAACUGUCUUAGGAGUAUUGUUUGUUGAAUUUAGUUUUUAAGUUAAAAUUCUUAGAUGUUUUUAUGGGACGAGAAGACCCUAUAGAGUUUUACAUUUAUCUUAUUUAUAUUAUUGUUUGUUUUGGUUAUAAGUUUGGUUUAAUGUUUUGUUGGGGUGAUGGGAGGAAUACUAUUUAACUCCUCUUUGUUUUUAUAUAUUUAUUUAUAUUUGUUUGAUCCAUUUAUUUUGAUUAUAAGAUUAAAUUACCUUAGGGAUAACAGCGUUAUCUUCCUUGAGAGUUCUUAUUGGCAGGGAGGUUUGCGACCUCGAUGUUGGAUUAAGGUGAAUUUUCGGUGUAGGAGCUGAAAGUGAUUAGGUCUGUUCGACCUUUAAAAUCUUACAUGAUCUGAGUUCAGACCGGCGUGAGCCAGGUUGGUUUCUAUCUAUAAUAAUGUUUAUAUCUUAGUACGAGAGGACCGGGUAUUUGGAAUAAUUCUAGCUUGUAAUAUGAUUUUCAUUAAUAUUAUGUUACUAUUUUGGCAGAUAAGUGCGGUGGAUUUAGAAUCUAUU